This 253-nucleotide ribosomal RNA is filed under the name uncultured bacterium. RNAcentral describes it as "partial 16S ribosomal RNA". It matches the Rfam family "Bacterial small subunit ribosomal RNA", at positions 524 to 776 of the family's 1533-position model. The record is from RNAcentral.
UACGUAGGGUGCGAGCGUUGUCCGGAAUUAUUGGGCGUAAAGCGCGCGCAGGCGGUCCUUUAAGUCUGAUGUGAAAGCCCACGGCUCAACCGUGGAGGGUCAUUGGAAACUGGGGGACUUGAGUGCAGAAGAGGAAAGCGGAAUUCCACGUGUAGCGGUGAAAUGCGUAGAGAUGUGGAGGAACACCAGUGGCGAAGGCGGCUUUCUGGUCUGUAACUGACGCUGAGGCGCGAAAGCGUGGGGAGCAAACAGG